CCGCAUAACGUAUCGAGGGGGCAUCCCCAUGAUACCAAAGGAUUUAUUCGCUGAAAGAUGGGCUCAUAUCUGAUUAGUUAGUUGGUGAGGUAACGGCUCACCAAGACUGCGAUCAGUAGCCGGACUGAGAGGUUGAACGGCCACAUUGGGACUGAGAUACGGCCCAGACUCCUACGGGAGGCAGCAGUGGGGAAUAUUGGACAAUGGGCGAAAGCCUGACCCAGCAACGCCGCGUGAAGGAAGAAGGUCUUCGGAUUGUAAACUUCUUUUAUGAGGGACGAAGGACGUGACGGUACCUCAUGAAUAAGCCACGGCUAACUACGUGCCAGCAGCCGCGGUAAUACGUAGGUGGCGAGCGUUAUCCGGAUUUACUGGGUGUAAAGGGCGCGUAGGCGGGGAUGCAAGUCAGAUGUGAAAUCUAUGGGCUUAACUCAUAAACUGCAUUUGAAACUGUAUCUCUUGAGUGCUGGAGAGGUAGACGGAAUUCCUUGUGUAGCGGUGAAAUGCGUAGAUAUAAGGAAGAACACCAGUGGCGAAGGCGGUCUACUGGACAGUAACUGACGCUGAGGCGCGAGAGCGU
Molecule: ribosomal RNA, 580 nt
Filed under: uncultured rumen bacterium
Lineage: Bacteria
Description: bacterial SSU rRNA
Rfam family: Bacterial small subunit ribosomal RNA
Source: RNAcentral